AGAGUUUGAUCAUGGCUCAGGAUGAACGCUAGCUACAGGCUUAACACAUGCAAGUCGAGGGGCAGCAUGUUGGUUGCUUGCAACCAAUGAUGGCGACCGGCGCACGGGUGAGUAACGCGUAUCCAACCUACCCUUGUCCAUCGGAUAACCCGUCGAAAGGCGGCCUAACACGAUAUGCGGUUCACAGCAGGCAUCUAAGGUGAACGAAAUGUGAAGGAGAAGGAUGGGGAUGCGUCUGAUUAGCUUGUUGGCGGGUAACGCCACAAGGCUACGAUCAGUAGGGUUCUGAGAGGAAGGUCCCCCANAUUGGAACUGAGACACGGUCCAAACUCCUACGGAGCA
Molecule: ribosomal RNA, 342 nt
Filed under: uncultured bacterium
Lineage: Bacteria
Description: bacterial SSU rRNA
Rfam family: Bacterial small subunit ribosomal RNA
Source: RNAcentral